GAGAGAGCGUAGUAACUGAUUAUUCACAUGUACGACCCACAACUCACUGAACUCAUGUGACACCCACACUGAACCUCACAGUGAUUAUAGAUCACUCAGGGCAGAGAGAAGAUCAGAGAAACAAAACAUCAGCGAGCUUCCAAGGAAGAAAAGUUUUAUGAUAUUUACAGAAAUCUGAAUUGCUACCAAGAAGUGGAUUUAAAACCUAUUCAAACAAGGGGGCCGUUACUGAGUGACAGGGUACCUGUGUACAUUAAUGUUACCUGAGCUGAGAGGGGGGACGUCGUCGGUGCUGGAGAAGUCCAAUGUGGCCCCUGCAAUAUCCACCAUAUCAUCAUCAUCAUCGUCACUU
Molecule: long non-coding RNA, 352 nt
Organism: Dicentrarchus labrax (European seabass)
Lineage: Eukaryota; Metazoa; Chordata; Actinopteri; Moronidae
Exons: 2
Source: RefSeq, a predicted model, not a curated record